RNAcentral lists this non-coding RNA (115 nucleotides) under human gut metagenome. The record is from RNAcentral.
CACGGGGUGCUGACGGUAUGGUCUUAAUUUAUCAAAACCAAGCCGCGGCUGAGAGGGCAUAUUGCUCAACCCAUUAAACCUGAUACGGGUAAUGCCGGCGUAGGGAAGAUGUUUU